Molecule: long non-coding RNA, 3873 nt
Organism: Eriocheir sinensis (Chinese mitten crab)
Lineage: Eukaryota; Metazoa; Arthropoda; Malacostraca; Decapoda; Varunidae
Exons: 5
Source: RefSeq, a predicted model, not a curated record
GAGACUAUAGAACAGGAGAGGGGGCCUCUAUGGGAGACCGUGGGCGGGUGUUGGUGUAUGUCGGUUGCAACAGAUGGCGCAGGAGCAGCUUUGUUUACAUUCAGGCGCCUCCCCCCCUCCAGACCCACCCCCAACCCCUAGAACCAAUCAGCAGUGUUGCUACAUGGGAUCAAGCCGCAAAUGUUGCUACUUUUUUUCUUCAGUCUGGUUAUUUCCCAUUUUAAAUAAAAAAAAAUAAAGGUAGAUAAAUAUUAAAAUGAACAGAAGGAACUAUAUAUACUGUAUAUAUUUACUAGGUAGAUAUAGCCUGACUGCAUGUCAUGAGUAAUGCUAUUAUUGUUAUAUUAUUAUACCGCAAUUAUAUUACUUUCUCUGCAUGUGUGGUUAGAUGUGUUUUAUGUGUUUAACCUUUCUGUAUACAUACUGGAAUGAACCAAGGAAUUGUAGCCCUACUGCCGUUCUUUAAAAACAAUGUGAUCAUGUUUUUCUUCCAAACUCAUUGUUUUAGCACGCACGCUGACUUCCAUCAGUAAUGAUGAUAUAUAGACAUUGAGUCAUUGGUUUGUAGGGGGAAAGAGUGGGUGAAUAUAAUUAUCUUGGUCUAACUUAUACUGUUUAUUAUACCGCUAUUCGCAGCAAUAUCUUUCUCUGCUCCGAUUGCAACGCUGCCUCGUUCAAAUAUCAUAACACCGCCGCGGCCUCCACGUUUACCAGCCGGGGCCUCAAAUCAUGUCCCUUUGUGGUGAUAAAGAGGACACAGCCUGGUGUGAAGCUACAUUUAUUACGGAAGGAUGCCAGCCGGGACCCGAACACGUCCGAUAUCAUCCAAGAGAAUGUGGCAGCUGAAGGGGGAGAGGCCAAGAAAGAGGCCAAGGGUGAAGACAUUUAGCCACUCCCCCUGAAGUACAUGGCAUCAUUCAACCCUCUUGGUGAGCUGCAGGAAUGUGCUUCCCAUUGCAGUGCACCAGCUCCAUGUACUGAUUUUGGGUGUGAACUUGAUGGGGUUGGAGGAAACUCGACUCGGCCAUCAAGCUCAUCACAAUAUAACAUGAAAAGUGAAAAUUGCUGCACACAACAGCCUGCUGUCUGCACCGGGAGGCAAGGCAGCUCAAAGCCCAGGCUGUUACAACUCCUGGGCAGUUUUUGCCCAGAGCCAGCAAUUUUUUAGGUCCAAUAGGGAUGGAUUUUUUCUGAGGUCAGGUUCAACAUGCUGCAAGAUCUAAGCCUAGUAGGAGAUAUGGGUUACAAGAGAGGAGGUUUGCUCUGGCCUUAUACUAUCAAAGUCCAAAUGCUAAUAGAUUUCUGAGCACAGUAUUUCACUUGCCUUCAGUUUCAACACUUCACUCAUGACUCAGGGGUAUUUCAGUACAUGUUGGCUGGAGCAAACAGACUCUGACAGCCCUGCAGCAAAGAGCACAGGCUUUGUCAAAAGAAGAUAAACUUCGUGGGAUUUGCCAUUAUUUAGUAUUACUCUUGUUACGCCAAGAAUUUUUUUCCAUAUACUUUGCCAAAUAUUGCAAGUAAUGCACCAUUGUUGGGCUUGCUUGUUAUAAAUCAGAUCUUGUUCAAUUAACAAGCUUUGGGUGUCUGCCACUUUCCAGUUGUAAUGCAAGGAAUCAUUUAUCUUCCCUGCUAGAUAUCACACGUAAUGCACCAUUGUUGGUUUUGCUUGUUAUAAAUCAGAUCUUGUUCAGUUAAAAAGCUUUAGGUGUCUGCCACUUUCCAAUUGUAAUACAAGGAAUCCCCUGCCAGAUAUCGCAUGUAAUGCACCAUUGUUGGUUUUGCCUGUUAUAAAUCAGAUCUUGUUCAGCUCACAAGCUUUGAAUAUCUGCCAUUGUUUAUUUCAGGUGUAAUGCUUGGAAGCAUUUGUUCUCUUCCCUACCCAACAGUAUGCAAUGCUUUAUUGUGGAUUUUGCCUGUUAUAUUUAAUCUUGUUCAGGUAACAAGCUUUUGGUGUCUGCCUUACCUAAUAUGUCCUGCAGUGACACUUGGCUUGGUUUCAUGAUGUGAAAUACAGCAUGUAAUUUCAUCACAUUAAGUGUCUAUCAUCACGUGUCUGGCAUCAUUAACCCUAGAACGCUAACCAUGGGUAUGAGGUACCCGAAGCGAAUGACGUCAUUGCCAUUGUGUAUGGUUCCGGUGCUCUGAGGGUACCCACCUCCUCAGUAGCUUCAUGUGCCCGCUUGACAGUGUAGGGGAAGGUCACGUUGUCUCGCUCUCUCUGCUCACCUUUGUUGUAGGCCUACAUUCGGGUGCGGCAUACCCAUGGUUGGUGAUACAGGGUGUUGUACAUGUCCCUAGGAUAUUGUUUACGUACUUUUUUAGUGAUCACCUGUGCAGUGGAUCACAGGACCUGGGGGGCCAUACAAGAAGUUUGGAAGCCAUCGGAUGAUAAUUUUUUUUAUGAAUUUUUUUUUUUUGAAAUUUUUGAACAUUUUUCCUAUUUUUAGUAACAUUUUUCAGUACCUGAUUUUCAUACCAAAACAAUACGUUUUUCAGUUCUUCUUAAUGUUAAGUCAAGAUACAAAGUUUGAAGUCCCUUCAUGUAACUUUAUUCCAUUAAAACUUUACAUUUAAUUUUUUUUUUUUUUUUCAAAAUCGGGUAUGAUGUACCCAUGGUUAGUAGUGGUGUGACUUUUUCUAAGGUUAGUGUUCUAGGGUUAAUGUGGCUUCCAGGAGUAAUCUUGUUUGUAUUACAGCUUGCAAAUUUUUUUCUGCUUUAUAUGAUAUACAUAAUCACAUAGGUAUGAUUUACAAAAUGUAAUGGCAGUUGAUAUUCUUGACUAAUGCCUCAUAAACCUUGUGAAAAAUAAUUGUUUUUUGAGGGGGGGGGGGGGGGACAGUGGUUUGUUUGGUUGGCCAGUUCAAGGAGUUUCAUAUCAAAUGAUUUUAUUACAUCCAACUUUAAUGUGUGCUAAAAACAUAUAUUUUAUUACAUCCAACUUUAAUGUGUGCUAGAAACAUAUAUUUUAUUACAUCCAACUUUAAUGUGUGCUUCCUGCAAUAAAUGCUACAUGUUUACUGAUGUAGCCUAUGAAAUACAUAUCACUCUCUGCCCUGUAAUUUAAUUGGUGUGUCACAUACUGCAGCAUAACUUUCCUGCUAUUUUCUUACACUAUGAGUUGCCUAAUUUUGUCUCAUUUGCUUUUAUCAUAUGUGCCUCCGCUGCAUAGUUGUGCCUGCUGAGCUUAAUAUCUUCAUGACCCUAACACCAAGGUCAGAGCUUGUGAGAUCAUACCGUGUCCUACAUUCCAUUUUCACCUCCAGGCUUGGCUGUCUCCCAGGACCACCAAGUUAUUGCAUUCCAUUUAAGACAACUCAUGUACGUGUUACCUUCUUAAUGUCCUCCAUCAUGUAUUUCAGCAUGUUUUAUGAUGCUUUGCUCUUAUAUUGAUGUGCCUUGCAACAUUUUUAUACAGUUUUCAUUGUAUAUAACGCACCAUUGUUGGUUUUGCCUGUUAUAAAUUGGGUCAUGUUCAGUUAACAAGCUUUGAGUGUCUCCCAUUGUUUAUUUCAGUUGUAAUGCUUAGAAGCUUUUGUUCUCUGCCCUGUCAAGCAGUAUGCAAUGCUUGCCAUUAUCUAGCACUUGUACAGUUAGUAUGAUAUUUUUACUCAGCUAAGAGCAUUUUGCAAACGGUAAAGGUAAGGCUGGGGGCAUACGCUGUAGCAGCACGUGGCCUCGGUGCUCAUCUCUGUAACAUUAGCCCAUGAUCGAGCCUGUGGUGUUAGGGAACCCAUUACCCUGGGACACAGGACCAGUGUGACAUCCGGGUUACCACAGUUGCAAAGGCAUUAUAGUAAUUUAGCAUGCAUAGAAUGUUGUAUGCUUUGCUUAUAUUUAAAGCACUGGAUAUGUUUGCUACACACACACAC